Molecule: ribosomal RNA, 418 nt
Filed under: uncultured bacterium
Lineage: Bacteria
Description: bacterial SSU rRNA
Rfam family: Bacterial small subunit ribosomal RNA
Source: RNAcentral
UGGGGAAUCUUGCGCAAUGGCCGAAAGGCUGACGCAGCGACGCCGCGUGUGGGAGGACGCCUUUCGGGGUGUAAACCACUGUUGCCCGGGACGAACAGCGCUUUUCGAGGCGUCUGACGGUACCGGGUGAGGAAGCACCGGCUAACUCCGUGCCAGCAGCCGCGGUAAUACGGAGGGUGCGAGCGUUGUCCGGAAUCAUUGGGCGUAAAGGGCGCGUAGGCGGCCCCGGCAGUCGGUGGUGAAAGCGCGGGGCUCAACCCCGCGUCGGCCACCGAUACUCUGGGGCUGGAGCACUGUAGAGGCAGGCGGAAUUCCGGGUGUAGCGGUGGAAUGCGUAGAGAUCCGGAAGAACACCGGUGGCGAAGGCGGCCUGCUGGGCAGUAGCUGACGCUGAGGCGCGACAGCGUGGGGAGCAAAC